Molecule: RNA transcript, 8249 nt
Organism: Glossina fuscipes
Lineage: Eukaryota; Metazoa; Arthropoda; Insecta; Diptera; Glossinidae
Gene: Cad86C
Gene name: cadherin-86C
Exons: 16
Source: RefSeq, a predicted model, not a curated record
CAGUACGACCCUUUCCAAGUUUCCAAGCAAUUGGUGUUGUAAGCGGAUUAUAUCGUAACGCUUAAACGGUUAGUUUUGAAACAAAAAAGAGAAAAACGCUUCAAGAAACUAAGUACAGAUGCUGUUUAAGAUCAAUAUUGUUUUGUGUACAAUAAAUUAAAAAAAAAAAUAUAUGAGGAAUAAAAUAUUCUUAUUCUUAUUAAUAUUGUUGAAAGUCAACUGAUAUACUGGAUGAUUUAAUAACGUUUUGACGUCAAUUUUUUUUUUUAUUAUUAUUACACCAUUGGAUUAUAUGUCAUGUACUUAUUGUGAGACGAAAUGGCUUCCAGCAACCGCAACAAUAACAACAGUACCUACAAAAGAAAAAGCAAUAAAAGAAGAAAACGAGGAUAUCACAAUAACAACAACAACAACAACAACAAAAAUAAUAAUAACCAAUUACACACCUUUGUAAAUGCCAACUCUUCCUACUGCACCACCAAUACCUCCUAUUCCAUCUCGCCGUUCAGUAACAACAACAAAACCAACAACAACAACAUUUUCGAUACGUCCACCGCCUGCAUCAAUAAAAGCGACAAUAGCAACAUUCGUUGCUAUUGUAUUAGCAGUUGGAGUUACUUGCCAUCACCAACAUCAUCGUCGUCAUUAUCAUCAUCAGUAUGCUGUGCGUCACAACACGUUACACGACACUUUUCCACCAUUCCAUUGCUGAGUUGGACAACGGCAUAUCGAAUAUUGACAAUCACACUACUAAUUGACAUUCUAAGUACGUCGCCAGUGCUGUGCGUAGAUCCCAAAUUCGAUCCGUCGACGCGUAUGCGUCUCGUUUUAGUGCCCUCCGAUGCUCAGGUCGGUUCAGUCAUUUAUCGACUGCGUGCCACUGACGAAGAAUUUGACUAUCCGUUAACCUUUGAGCUAGUAGGCGAUACUUCAUCGUCUACGAUUAAUAUUGAGUCUCUUCCAUGUACCAAAUACAAUUCAGUCUGCCAAGCGAACGUUAUAUUGCAACGUCGUUUAGAGCCGGGUCGCUAUUAUGAUUUUCAAGUAUCGGUUAAGGAUACAAAAGGAGGUAUGGCCACCCAAUUAUGUUCGAUAACAGCAACUAAUUUUACAACACCGCACGACCUCAUCUUUCCGCACAAGCCAGGCAUCAUUAUGAUACCAGAGGACGCUAAACGUGGCACGGAGCUCGAUUACGUAAUUGCGAGAAAAAAUCCGCUCUUUCCGAAACCAGUCUACCUCGAACUAUGGGGUUCACCCCUAUUUGCCAUAAGACAAAAAAUUGUCUCUACAGAAACUACAGAGGGAACUCUUUUCCUACUGGGACCAUUAGAUUUUGAAAAACAAGCCAUGUAUCAUUUAACUAUUUUGGCGAAUGAUGCCUACGCGGAACCAGGCCAAGACAGUCGAAACGUUGCUGGUCUGGAAAUUGUUGUCAUUGUUCAAGAUGUGCAGGAUCAACCUCCCGUGUUUACAAUGGCUCCGCCGGUUACAAAAUUACCAGCCGGUAUACUUCCAGGUGAUAAGAUACUUCAAGUUCAUGCCGAAGACGGUGACAAGGGAAGUCCACGUGAAGUGCGCUAUGGUCUAGUAUCCGAGGGGAAUCCCUUCACUUCGUUUUUCGAUAUUAACGAUACCAGCGGCGAAAUCUUCCUAAUGCGACCUCUAGAGGAUAUCGCUGCAAUCACGCAUGUGGGCGAUCCCGUCUUGCUUACAGUAAUUGCGGAAGAGGUUAAGGUUGGUCGUGACGAACCACCAGCAAUGGCUUCCACCGUGCAAUUGGCAUUCUUUUUACCCGAGCGCACCAAUUCGCCGCCAUACUUCGAAAACGAUCAUUAUGUAUCCCGCGUCGAUGAAAAUGCUCCACAAGGAACUGCUCUCACAUUUGUCGACCCUUAUGUACCGCGUGUUUAUGAUGAUGAUACGGGCAAAAAUGGUGUGUUUUCUUUGACUUUGCUUAAUAACAACGGUACUUUUGAGAUUUCACCUAACGUAGCGGAACGCAGUGCUUCAUUUCUAAUACGCGUGCGAGACAACAUUUUAUUAGAUUACGAAGAACGUCACUCAGUAGAAUUUCAAAUAUUAGCACAAGAAUUGGGACCAGCCACAAAUUUAUCUGCCACCGUAAACGUCACUGUCUAUAUAAAUGACGUCAAUGACAAUCCACCCAUAUUCUCCCAGCCCGUGUAUACAGUCGAACUGCCAGAAAAUAUGACAAUGGGUACUAAAGUGGUACAGGUUCAUGCUGAUGAUGUUGACACUGGUCUGGGUGGUCGUGUCCGUUAUACCGCCAUUUUAGGCUAUUUAAAUACUUCUCUUAAUCUGAAUGCUGAGACUGGUCUGAUAACAGUAUCCACCGAUAAUCAUGGCUUUGAUCGUGAAGUGAUGCCCGAAUAUCAUUUGUAUGUGGAAGCUCGUGACAAUGAUGGUUCUGGAAAUCGAGCACAAGUACCAUUAGUCAUAAAACUUAUUGAUGUCAACGAUGAAGUGCCUACAUUCGAAAAAGAUUUAUACGAGUUUAUCUUGGCUGCCGAUUUGAAAAGUUUUACUACAGCGGCAGUAAUACAUGCUGUAGACAAAGAUGCGACUGCACCCAAUAACGAGGUGCGUUAUGAAAUUAUUAACGGUAACUACGAUAAUAAUUUCGCGUUAGAUAAAAUCACCGGUGAAUUAACUGUACGAGAAAAAGUAAAUUUUCGUACUAAAAAACAAAUUUCACAACAUAGACGUCGCAAACGGCAGAACCCUCCCAUUAAUGAGCCAAAUAUGUUUAUAUUAAUUGCAAGAGCGUAUGAUUUAGGUAUACCGGUACUCUCUAGCACCGCGACCAUACGUAUUUAUCCGCCAGAAAGUCGUACAAGAGCUGUAACAUUUUUGGUUCCUGGUCUUAAUCCAGACAAAAGUAAAACAGAAGAAACUUUAUCAACUAUUACCGGUGGUAAAGUGCUUAUACAUGAAAUCCGUUCUUUAAAACCCGAUGAACCUGGUGCUCAAAAUAUUCCUUCCGGCAAUAAUCUCGAUAUUAAAGACCGAAGUGUUGUAACAGCAACGGUUCUUUAUGAUAGCGCUUCCGUAGUUGAUAUUUCCCAAAUACAAGAACGUCUUUCGCAGCACAACAGCUCGUUUGCUAUAAUGAGCGGUCGUGAAAGCUUAUCGGAAACAGAUGAUUUAACUCCUUUGCAGACUCUUUAUAAGGCUGAAAAUAAAUUAUUGUUUUGGUUGCUAAUACUUUUGGCCACUAUUGUGGCCUUAACAAUUUUAAUAUUGCUAUUGUGCUGCAUUUGUUCGUGCUGUCCUCUAUAUGGAGCUACAAGCAAAAGAAUAGUUAAUAUCAGUAGAACUGAAGACGAUGUUCAUCUAGUUCGUAGGGAAAUGGCAAAUGGAAAACAAACAAAAUCUGUUCAGGUCGCCGAGUGGAUGGGCAGACGCGAGGCCUGGUCCGCGGACAAACCGACCGAUCCACGAACGAAGCCUACCCGUUGGGAGUUCCACAAUGGCCGUGAACAGUUUGACGAAAACAUAGGUGGUGGCGCCGGUGUGCAUGCUACCACUUCAGUCGGUCUGAGCAAGAACAACCAGCCAGACUCCGAUGGAAGACGUCGAAUACGUUCAGCCGACGAGCAGCAAAGACGAGUUAAAAUAAAAAAUUCUCGUGCAGCCAAAGAGGAUACUCAUCUUAGUUUUCAUAAUUCUAGAACUAAUUUGAUCAACGAUCGCGAUAUUUAUAUUGAGGAUGUUAUCGAUGAGCAGCAACUAGUUGACGAAGAAGAGGAAAGUUUUCGGCGUUCCAAACGCAAUAACCAGCAAAUGAUGCAACAACAACAGCAAGAACGACAUCAGAUUGAUGAUGAUUCCAUGCGGCGUCAUGAAAUCGAUCGUGGCAGCGAUAUUGAUUACAAUACCACUCGCAACAGUUUAAGAAAUAAACGAGAAUUUUUCAUUAAGGAUGGGAACAUAGAGAUACUACAAUUAAUGACACGCGAUAAGACUCGUGAAGAUGCUCCUGCUGAAGAAGAUAACAUCUAUAUGAAUGUUCCAUUAAAAUCUACAAAUCUCUCUCAUCCACAGCUCUUAAUGGUCGAUAAUAGCGGGAAGGAAAUUUUGAUGCGUCGCUUUAUUGAAGAACAACCGGAUGGUAAGCAGAUAAUACGUGAGCAUUAUCAAAUCGUACCAGGAGCUACGUACAUACAAACAAUGCCUAAUGAAAUCCCACAAAAUUCCACCUUGAAAGGCGAUACCUUUCCUUUAGGUAAAUCCGGGCCAAAUAGUGUUGUCUACUCUCAAACUGAGCCCGAGGUUAAAGUUAUACACACACAACCAGCCCAGGGAUCGACAGCUAUGGUGCAGACCAAUAGUCUAGGGAAUGUAACAAUGCAACCGGCCAUUUCAAAUCAAUCAUUAACUCAGGAAUUGGAAAAUUCUCUAAAACAACAAAACGAACUGCUACGUCAGAUUUUACUAGAGAAAGAGAAGUUGGAAACUCGAUACCUUCAGCAUGAAGUAGCUCUUGAAACACAAAGUCUACCAGGGCAAGCUAUGGCAAUAGCGACGCAAACAGAUUGUGAAGCGGGUACACAAACUGAAUUUACCAACGGUUUCGCGUCACGCAAUGGUGUCGGUUCAAAAAGUUUUUCGGUUAGACGUCGAGCUCGUAGCGAAAAUGAUGAUUCUGCAUCUGAAGGGGAUGAUGAUUACGAAUAUAUACGCUUAAGUUCACCUAACAGCCCGGAUGGCAUUGUUUAUUACAUUAAACGUAACAAGCCCAGAAGACGCAGUAAAUUUCGCAGUAGCAUGCAACCGCGUAAACGUAUUGUUAUGGUGGAAGAAGUAAAACGAAAAAUACGCACUCCCAUUAAGGAAGAAGAUGAUGAAGAAUAUCAUAAAGCUCGCAAACGAAUCGUACCUAAGAAACCUCCACGUAACAAUGGGGAAACAAAAACAAGUAUUCUAAGGCGACUCAAAACGGAGGAAAAUCGCAGAAGAGAAAUAUGUGCGCAACCCAGUGAACCACUUAAUCGCAAUAUACUUAUGGAGAUUUCUGAUUCUUUGGAUGAACCACUCAGCCCUGCUCGUAGAAAAAUUGAAAUACAACAAGUUCAAUAUGUGGAAUCGUCCGAAGAUGAAGAUAACGCUGAUGUUGUCGGUAAAGAAGAAGAGGGCGAUGCUGAAUAUUCAAAUGAAUCGGAUACCGGAGAAAUAAUGAUUAAAACCAAUAUGUUUACAACUAGUCAAAGAGAUAAAGAGAAAUACGAGCAACCGAGAAAAUCAACCAAAGAUCAGCAUCAUUUCGAAAUCCAUGUAGAAGAUAGCAAAAAUAGUAUGCGGCCAGAAGCAAGACCCAGACUUUCGCGAUCAGAUAGCUGUCAUCUUAAUAACAGUAAACAUGGUAAACAUAACAACACGGAGCCGAUAAAAAAUCGCGUAUCCAUUACCAAAUAUCAUACGGAUGAAGGCAGCGGUACUCAUAUUACGACAACCGAAGUUUGUGACAAUCGUAUAAGCCACAGCGAAGCUGAAUUAUUAGAGCGUGACGAAGCAGCUUUUAGCCGAACAAGAACUGGCAGGAACUCUAAAUACAUGAAUUGGUAUUAUGAUAAAAAGAAACCGCCUUUAGCUGCGGAAAAUUCUAACAAACCACCACAACAACCAAUUAGAAAGAAAACACUGGGUGAAAAGAAACUUAGCAAGACACGUUUACAUAUUAAGCAUGUAGAAAGCGUACAACAUGAAGGGAAAUUCAAACCUGAACCUGCGCCUAGAAAAUCACCAUCCAAAGGCAAUCGUUUGCUUAAGGAAGACAUUGCGAAAAAUAAACAAUUAAAAUCACGGGGAGAAACCGAAACCAGUCACCCUUUAGUGCAGCAUUCAGAGCAUCGCUUCGAACGAGAAAAUGUCCCAGAAGUGCCUAUACAUCCCACCAAAUUACCCCAUUACAUGUAUCCAGAAACACCACCUUUUGGCGCUCAUAGCAAAGAACUCGUUCAACAAAACGCCAAACCAAAACCUUCCCCGAUUAAAGAGAACGAAGUGAAAACUAAAAAUAAUUCUAAAAUAAAUCUGUAUAUAGAAGAUGCACACUGCAGUCAAUUGCCAGCAAGUGCAGCGACGACUACGACCGUACAAAAACAAUUAAACGCUGCCACUUUGGAAGACGAUCAUGACUCGGGUAUUGCUAUGAGCUCUUUGCUUACUAACAUGGGCCGGCGCAAUCCAAUAGCAGAAAAAAAAAGCGUUUUUUCAAUUGCCUACGACGACGUUAGUCGGGUAAAAAAAAUUACUUCAAGCGGUGAAUCGCCGCCAUACUCCUAGGGUCCAAACAAACACGAUAAUGAUAUAUAAUAAUGAUGAUAAUGUGAAAAUCAUGCUUGUAUAAAGUUAUAUUGUAAUUGUGAUAAAUCCUAUAGUCCUUUGUAAACUGGUAGGUAUAUAACAUAUUUGAAAAGAAAACGUUGUCACAUUUUUUUUGUAUAUAAGUAAAUAGAAAAAGAUAUCCAUUUUUUAAAUAACAAAAAAAGAAUCAACACAUAUUCGCAACUAGUUACGAUGCAUCGUCCCUCUUGUGAAUAUUAAGAUUCUACAUUAAGUUCGGAUAAAUUUAAAUCUAGACUAUAUAUUUUUAAUUUAAUUUAAUUCAUUCAUAUUUUUAAGAUUUUCACUUUCAUUCCGCAAUCGAACCAGAGUCUUCGCUCUCUGACGGUGUGUGUAUAUAGUAGAGAAAAGUAUUCCUAUUAUUGUUUAAAAUUUAUUGUAACCUAAUAAUAGUAAUAAUAAAAAAAAGAGAAAACCGAUUGUUUAUCUACUCAUCAACCAACGAUCGACCAAGAUUCCAUGUACAGUGAAGAUGUAUUUAAAAAAACUUCGUUGUUAGUUAAUUAAAUUUUAAUACUCGUUAAGAAUGCUUGUGCGUAUAUUAUUGGGCAUUGUAUUUCAAUUUUUGUUUCUCUUUUUUUUCCCUUUUAUUCCCUAUUUCUAGUAAAUAUUAACAUAAUAAUAAUAAUAAUAUACUUACACAUACACGUUGACACAGUUGGUAUCAGUUGCUAUGAUUAAAUUAAAGCCUUCGAUCAUUGUAUGAAAAUCCGUAUAACUGCCAUAUAAAUAAAGUGUAAAAAAAAACAAGUGCGAAAAAGGAAGUAAAUCAUAUAGAUAAACAAAAGAAAUUGCAAUUCGUUUGCAUUGGAUACGUGUGCGUUCGUGUAAGAAGAACUUAUAACUUUUUUAAUACUUUUAUGAAAAGGCAACUAAAAAUUUUAUCUAACAGUCUGUAAAUAAUUAGUUAAAUAUUUUUAUUUGUGUGCGUGUGUGCUGUUAUUAUGUAUUUUCUAUUAUCUAACAGUACGUUUAAAAAAUAUUUAUAAAAGCAUAUUACUGUUGUCAUUGCUAGUUAUUGUUGCGAGCGGAAGGUUGUGCGGAUUUUGAAAAGCGGCAAACACCAAAUUAGAAAAAGAGAGAUUACUCUGUUGUCCAAAUUCUUGUGUAUUGAAUUGAUUGGAGGCUAAUUUACGUCGCGUUUGGAGUAAUUUGAUUUGAAGUUAACUUUUGUCCGGAGAAAAUUAAAAUUUUUUGUUGUGUAAACCUCACACAAUAUAUAGCGGAGAACCUUAAAAAUGUGCAAAUGUCUGGCCGGAAGUAUAGUUUGCUGCUGUUGCCGAUGCGCUGUUUGCUUAUUAGUAUCGCUUCUUAGCAGUGCCUUCGUGUUGCUCGUUAUUGUAGGAGUAGUCAUUUACUUUGUCUACUUUUAUGACGGAGAUCAUAGUAAAGAUAUAGAGAACACUCUAAUGAAAGCUAAAGAAAAAUUUGAAGAAACUAAAAAUAUACUUCAACAUUAAACGUUGAAAUCCAAAGAUUACAACAAGGACUUAUUGGGUGUGAAAAAUCGAAAAAUAUUUAAAUAAUAGUAUUUAAAAUUAUAGUAUUUAACUCUAUUGCUCUUUUAGUAGAUAAGUGUGGCCUUACGUGUUUUUCUUAUUCAAUAGAUUUCACACGUUUGUUUUAUAUUUUAGCAAAUGUAAAUUCUGUAUAUUAUCGUCGUUCUUUUUUAUUGUAUUUUUGAUAAAAACAAACUGCGGUAACGUUUAAAGGCUAUAAACCAUAGUAUCAUUUACUGGAUUUUACAAAGAUCAGCAAAAUCUCAUCUAAAAAAUAAUUUAUAACUGAAUGUUGUCUCACAAGUGCAUGCCGAUCCAAUAGUUAACAAAAUAUAUAAAAGUUUAAACAUUUUUUUAUACGUGUUUUAUUAUUAAAUAAAU